Drosophila innubila is the source of this 978-nucleotide long non-coding RNA. RefSeq lists it as uncharacterized. The transcript is spliced from 5 exons. NCBI's taxonomy places the organism in Eukaryota, Metazoa, Arthropoda, Insecta, Diptera, Drosophilidae. The record is from RefSeq and is a predicted model, not a curated record.
UUCAAUCUAAAGUUUAUAUCGCCUGAUUAAUUUUAUUUGCACAACGUGUUCUGUUCAACGCUUUAAAGUUUCUGCUUUGGAACUAUUCUUACAAAUUUCGCCAUACAGUAACAAGAAUCUCCUGAAUUUCUUUGCUGGGACAUUUAGAGUACAAGAUAAUGAUGAUGUCAUUUAUGGCAAUUAUUUUUAUUUUCGCAUUACCUUUGCGACUUUCAACGGAUUCUCGAUUCAAACAAUGCGGAUGCUAUUUCAAAAUGGUAUUCAAAUCAAAACUAUCGGCAGACUGCUCAAAUCAAUCAAACAUAGACUUCAAUUAUCUGUCAAAGAGUGAACCAUACGAAAUAUUGUUGAAAAACAAUAACUACACUGAAGUCCCAUCUGAGAUGUUUGAUCAUAGCUUUAAUAAAACUCUACACAUUGAUUUAUCAGAAAAUUUAAUUGAACGUAUUCCUGGUAAAUUGUUGAAGCAUUGCGUGCGCCUAAAAUCACUCAACCUUAGCCAUAAUAAGUUGACUAAUAUUAAGGAUCUAUUUCUCAUCGAUUGCAAUAUUAACAUCUCGAUUUUGGGCAAUCGGUUUGAAUGUGAUUGCAAUGAUCCAGAUAAUAUUCUAGUUUAUAAUCACGCAAAGAAACUAGGAAUAACUGUGACUUGCUAUUCAUCUCUUUAUGAGCACCCCAUACCGCUAACAGCAAAAUGCCACGCCCAAUUUAAUGCAGUGCAACCCCAGGAAGGAAAGCUUGCCUAUUAUAUCGUAUUAUUUUCGGUGAUGGUCAUUUUUUGUCUUGUAUCAUUUGCUGCAUUUAAAUAUGGCCGAAGUUGUUGAAGUUUCAUUAAAAGUAUUGAUAUUAUUUUGUAUUUUAGCUUCUAAUAUUAGUGUAUUGAGACCUUAAAUGUAUUCAAUAGCUAUAAAAUGUGAUCUAUGUAUCAUGUCUUCUACUGUGCAAAAAUUAUAAUAAAGAAAUACACAGAGAAAUUUA